GUGGGGAAUAUUGGACAAUGGGGGCAACCCUGAUCCAGCAAUGCCGCGUGAGUGAAGAAGGCCUUAGGGUUGUAAAGCUCUUUUACGCGUGAGGAUGAUGACGGUAGCGCGGGAAUAAGCCCCGGCUAACUCCGUGCCAGCAGCCGCGGUAAUACGGAGGGGGCUAGCGUUGUUCGGAAUUACUGGGCGUAAAGCGCACGCGGGCGGCAUGUGGAGUUGGGCGUGAAAGUCCUGGGCUUAACCUGGGGACUGCGCUUGAUACUGACGUGCUGGAGUCCGGGAGGGGGUGGCGGAAUUCCCAGUGUAGAGGUGAAAUUCGUAGAUAUUGGGAAGAACACCGGUGGCGAAGGCGGCCACCUGGCCCGGGACUGACGCUGAGGUGCGAAAGCGUGGGGAGCAAACAGGAUUAGAAACCCUGGUAGUCC
RNAcentral lists this ribosomal RNA (425 nucleotides) under uncultured bacterium. Its description in RNAcentral is "bacterial SSU rRNA". It matches the Rfam family "Bacterial small subunit ribosomal RNA", at positions 354 to 796 of the family's 1533-position model. The record is from RNAcentral.